Molecule: long non-coding RNA, 4320 nt
Organism: Mobula hypostoma (lesser devil ray)
Lineage: Eukaryota; Metazoa; Chordata; Chondrichthyes; Myliobatiformes; Myliobatidae
Exons: 3
Source: RefSeq, a predicted model, not a curated record
UUAUUUUUGUAGUUUGUAGACCUUUAUUUCUUUGUGCUAUACGACUGACAAAUUGCACGUCAUACGUCAGUGGUUAUAAAGCUGAUUCGGAUUCUGCAACGCGCCAUGGUGAAGACUGGUGCCCUCCCAAAUCCCACAAUGGCAAGUUAACACAUCAACAGGACAGAAGCCAAAGAGGGCCAACCAUGACCUUUCGCUGCUGUUUUAACAAAUGUUAAUUGAGAUCUCUCUCAGAAUGUUGGGAGCUGUAAGUCAUAUCCUGCAGGAGCGGAGGUGGUGAAAGGCUAAUUACAGUGAGCGAAAUGUCACAGUCUGCUUUGACAGCCAUGACGUUGACGUCUCCUGAAUGCACAGCCAGUUCAAGCCCCAAGCAUUCACAAGGAGCCCGCAGAGGUGCAACAUUCACAGCGGGGAAGGGAUUGCUCGCACCCUAACCGGAGGAAGCUCCUCCAGCCAACAAGAGGCCCUCUCUUUAAAGAUGACCAACGCGUGACCCUGGCCCCAGAGGUUCUUUCAAAGACCCUGACCCUGAUCGGUUCUUUGCGGGAAUGGGACCCGCUCUCGGGGCUUCAUGACUGGCUGUUGUUCAACAUGGCGAGGAUGCGGCCUAAGAGGUUCGCUCACCUUCAGACGUCCGAGAUCUCGUGGCUCUGGAGACGGGCGGAUUGGAAGUUGGUGUCAGGAAAUCAGUGUGUCGUGGGAGUCAGAAGAUAUGUGCCUGGAGACCUGAGAUCUUUGGGCACAGACCUCGGAAAAAGCAAUGCGAUGGACUUUUAACAUCGUAAACCAGAGAGUUGUUUGUUAUGUCUCUCCUCUCACUGUGAAACAGAGACACCCUUUUCUCCCUUAUUAGGGAGAAUGAGUAGUUUUUGGGGUACUGCAAGUCUGUGUCUUUGCUGUUGCUUUGCUGCACGCUUGGUGCUCGGUUGUGGGGGCCAAUACUUUUUUUUUGCUGGUUGGGGGAGGAGGUAUCAUUGCUUUUCUGCUGCUUACGUGCAGGAGGGAGGGGGAGUUGGGGGGACUUUGGGGUUCUAACACUUAACUGUCAUUCAUUCUUCAGGGGCACUCCUCAGUUUUCAUGGAUGGUUGCGAAGAAAAAGCAUUUCAGGAUGUAUAUUGUAUACAUUUCUCUUGACAUUAAAUGUACCUUUGAAACCUUAAAUGCUCCAAAUGCCAUGCAUCUCGCAGUAUCUGACAACCAAGUCCAGUUCCUGGCCUUCAUGUGUGGCUUAGCUACGAAGCCUGGAGGAACCGUUUUUACUGGCAGGAGGAAACGUUUUUACUGGCAGGAGAAAGGGCAAAGGUGAGUUACUAGUGUCUCAAAGCCAGUCGCUUCAGGCAGAUAGGGCAGAUAGAGAGCGGGCUGUUGUCCCUGCAGCAGGCACCCCCUCUCCAUGUAGCUGAUAAUCCAAAGGAACAGCAGAGACCACUGCAGGAGUUAACAGUCAGCGUUGAACUCAACGUAAGACUGCCUUAGGAACCCCAGCUCCAGAUUUUUCCUCAGGGUUUACUCCCGAAGCCUUCCCCAUGAGUGGGUAUGGCCGCCAGAGUUUUUCUUCUCCUAGAUGAUCUGCCAAACAUGGCUGACGAGCAAUAUUUCCUGCAAGAUGUAUGUGUAUGUGCGCACACAGACAUCUCUUGCAACUAGCGCAGAAAGGAAUUUAAACUGUGGACAAAAGCUAGUCACCUUCUAUAUUUCACAAUCGCAAACAAACACAUUUCCUCUUCCGGUUUCUGAUGCAGGCACUGCUGACAAAGUGGGGUUUGCGAUGAUCUGUCUGCCGAUUUUAGAACUGGCUUAUUGAUACUGUUUCCAUUCAAGAAAUUAUUCAGUGCGCACAUGUUGUUGUCACUGGACAAAAAAAUUGCUCAGCAUAAGAUUUUUGCGCACACUGGUCAUUACAAAUUAGAGGGAUCAUUGCCGAUGAUCUCCAUACGCCCGGUGUCUGGUUUUCAGGUGUUGGUAACCCACCUUGGCCCUUUCUCCUGCCAGUAAAAAUGGUUCUGCCAGGCUCAGUAGCUAAGCCACGCAUGAAGGCCCGGAGUUGGCCUAGUUGUCAGAGGCUGUUUGAGACUCUCGUCAUCGGGAGCAUUUAAUAGGAAGUGGGAGCUUAUCCCCACUACCUCCCCGGAUAUGAUAAACUUAAGGAACCAUCAGUGCCAAACAAGUAGAUAAAUAAGUUAGGUUAGGGGGUUAAAUAGGUGGCUUGCUGGGCAGCGAUGGGACCUAUUCUGCACUGUAUGCCAGUAAAUAAAAUGGGAUAGUAUCUGCCCUUGAACCUGGUGCUGAAUACGUUCAUGCUAAAUAUGGGAUUUAUUUCUCACACGUACAUCGAAACUCGCAGUAAAAUGAAUAAAUUGCAUCAACAACUAGCGUAGUCCGAGGAUGUGGUGAAGGCAGCGUGCAAGUGCCGAAUGGCUAGAUGGGAUCUCAGCAACUCGCAAUGCACUCUACCGUUAUCCUUAGACCGUUAGACAUAGGAGCAGAAUUAGGCCAUUCAGCCCAUCAAAUCUGCUCUGCAUUCCCAUCAUACAUGAUUUAUUAUCCCUCUCAACUCCAUUCUUCUGCCUUCUCCCCAAAACCUUUGACACCCUGACUUAUCAAGACCUUAUCAACCUCUGCUUUAAAUAUAUCCAGAACCACCUGUGGCAAUGAACCCCACAAAUCCUUCACCACCCUCCGGCUAAAGAAAAUCCUUAUCUCUGUUCUAAAUGGGCGUUCCUCUAUUCUGAGACUGCGUCUGACCCUAGAUGACUCCACACCACAGCUAUGAUAAAAAUGGUGUCUACUCAACAAUCUGCAAUUUUGCUACAUUACAGCACUGUAUGCUAAUGAGCCCAAUGCUGACUCUGACACAGACAAUCCCGUCACAUUCACACCACUUUCUCUCAUUUCCCUCUGGCUUUGUCAAUUAUCUUCUCACAUUUUCUUAACUUCCCUAUUAUUCCUUUCCCAGUUAACCACACUAUGGCAGCAAACGAAACCUCCAAAUACAUACAGAAUGCUCAACAACAGCACAAUAAAGGAAUUGAUUAUAGACAUUGGGAGACGCACUCCAGUCCUCAUUGAAGGGUCAGUAGUGGAAAGAGUGAGCAACUUUCAGUUCUAAAAACGCAAACACGAGGAAAUCUGCAGACGCUGGAAUUUCAAGCAACACACAUAAAAGUUGCUGGUGAACACAACAGGCCAGGCAGCAUCUCUAGGAAGAGGUGCAGUCGACGUUUCAGGCCGAGACCCUUCGUCAGGACUAACUGAAGGAAGAAUAUCAUCUGGCCUGAGGUCUCAUACCACCGGGUUCAAGAACAGCAACUUCCCUUCAGCCAUCCAGCUCAUCAACAGAGUUUGGAAAACACUAUGGCCAUUCUGCAGUCUAACGACGAGAGAUCGUCUUAGCCACUUUUCUUGUGAUCGCCAUGGAAUGCUGCAAGCCCAAUUCAUUGGUUUAUUGGCAGAUGGAGGAGGAAAUACAUGGCCUUGGUCAAGCAAAGGACUAGGCCUCAGAACAUGGUGUCAGGAGUUUGCAGCCACCCAGGGGAGGUGUCAGAGUUGGUGUGCUUCGGAGCAGGGUCCAUACUGGAGUCGCUGGUGCCCUCCAGUGUUUGCUCAGCAGAAGGCAAGCUGUAUUAUGUUCAACUGUAGACUGCUGCGAUAUUCAUGGAUUCAAGGACUUGGGCCAAUUUUUUUUAAAGUGUGACUGUAAGUUUACUGCUAUAUGUGCUAUGUAUGCCUUAUGCUGUGUAUGACUGUUGGUACUGUGUUUUGCACCUUGGUCCUGGAGUAAUACUGUUUCAUUUGGCUGUAUUCAUGGGUAUUCACGUACAACUGAAUAAGAAUUAUAGUUGAAAUUGACCACCUUACACUAAAAUGAACCUUCAAUUUCUCCAAUUGUGAUCUUUCUUGUAAAAACUGUGUAUAAUCUAUGUCUUUCCUGUAAAUGUUUUCUUGGUUGGGGCAACUGUAACGAAAAUCAAUUUCCCUCAGGAUCAAUAAAGUAUGACUAUGACUAUGAAAUGUUGUGUAUCUGACAGUGUGUACCUGUGAUGUGGAGGCAUGUAAGCUUUUUAUUGCACCUCUAUACACAUGGACUUGUGAAACGUGACAAUAAAUUUGACUUUGAGCUUUGCCCAAUAAUUUGGCAGUCCACACAGUGGCCACUUUGUUAGGUACACCUGUACACCUGCUUGUUAAUACAAAUAUCUAAUCAGCCAAUCAUGUGCCAGCAGCUCAAUGCAUAAAAGCAUGCAGACCUGGUCAAGAGGCCCAAUUGUUGUUCAGACCAAACAUCAGAAUGGGGAAGAAAUGUGUUGACCAUGGAAUGA